This 200-nucleotide ribosomal RNA is filed under the name uncultured bacterium. RNAcentral's name for it is "partial 16S ribosomal RNA". It matches the Rfam family "Bacterial small subunit ribosomal RNA", at positions 8 to 210 of the family's 1533-position model. The record is from RNAcentral.
AGAGUUUGAUCAUGGCUCAGGACGAACGCUGGCGGCGUGCUUAACACAUGCAAGUCGAGCGGUAAGGCCCUUCGGGGUACACGAGCGGCGAACGGGUGAGUAACACGUGGGUGACCUGCCCUUAGCUCUGGGAUAAGCCUGGGAAACUGGGUCUAAUACCGGAUAGGACCACAUGCUGCAUGGUGUGUGGUGGAAAGUUC